RNAcentral lists this ribosomal RNA (253 nucleotides) under uncultured bacterium. Its description in RNAcentral is "partial 16S ribosomal RNA". It matches the Rfam family "Bacterial small subunit ribosomal RNA", at positions 524 to 776 of the family's 1533-position model. The record is from RNAcentral.
UACAGAGGUCUCAAGCGUUGUUCGGAUUCAUUGGGCGUAAAGGGUGCGUAGGCGGUCUGUUACGUCUGCUGUGAAAACCCGGGGCUUAACCCUGGGCUUGCAGUGGAUACGGGCAGACUAGAGGCAGGUAGGGGAGAAUGGAAUUCCCGGUGUAGCGGUGAAAUGCGCAGAUAUCGGGAGGAACACCGGUGGCGAAGGCGGUUCUCUGGGCCUGACCUGACGCUGAGGAGCGAAAGCGUGGGGAGCGAACAGG